UGAUAGAUUGGCUUUCCGUUGAUAGAAAAUCGACUCUUGCGGUCGUUCAUCAUAACUCCUACUCCAGUAGCUGCCCUUACUUUACCACAAAGGUUGGUCUUUCCUGAUUUGCAGAACUUGCAUUCUCUGCAUUCUGCCUGGUAACAAGGUAUAACAUGGUCUCCUGGCUGAACCUCAGUAACUCCUUCACCGACACUUUCUACUAUCCUGCAAAUUUUAGAGGGCUAAGAGCAAGAAAGUGGGCAUCCAGACAAAACUCUUGUGUAGCUUCAACGGAAGCUAAUGUUCAAUAAAAAUGCUAUGACAUAAAGCGAGCACGUACCCUGCAGCCUCAUGACCAAGAACACAUGGGAAGAGACCUUCAGGAUCCUUCAAGGAGAAAGAAACACGUGUCAGGUAGUGACUGACAAUAACAAACAACAACCAUUAAUUCAAUAAACUAAUGAUCUUAAACCAUUGACUCCAACCUUAUUGUUUCCCAAAGUACCAAUUUCCACAGAAACAUUACGAAUUGGGGAUGCAAUUUUCUAAAUAAGAAGGAAAGGGCUACAAAUUCUUGGUAUUCCAAGAUAUCCUUGAGCAUAAAUGUUUAGAGGAAGAGAGAAAAUCUGAAAAUGCAUGUUUUAAUAAAAUUCCAUAGGGAAAAAUACUUUUGCACUAAUUUUAUUGUUUAUCAUAAGAAUGUAAUGAUAUGUUCAUAAUACUUAUUAGCCACUCAAAAGCAAAUUAACAUUGUUGCAGGAAUGCAGAACUCUUCAACUCCAUUUGAUGAUUAAUCCAUCAACCAACUAUGCCACGAUCCCAAAGACCAAACCAGCUGUGGUUAACUUUAUGAAUAAUUUGCAUCCAUUCUACUCUAUUCGACAGGUAUUCCCCGAGGAUUCAUCACAUUUAGACCACAUAACUACACCUUUAUCAGGCUUGAGACUGACUAUGCUCGUAGCAACUCACAUAACCAUAGUUCCAUAUGUUUGAUUGAGCACUUAAGAGUAAAAUCGGCAGUUCCUAAACAAGAGAAAAUAAUACAUACGGAUAUAAUAUAAGAUUACCUUGCCACUCCAGGUAUAAGCAUCAGUGUGGCAGAGAGCAGUAUAGAGAACUUUAACACGGACUUCACCGGCUUGCGGCGGAGCCACCUGCACAUCCUCGAUCACCAGAGGCUUG
RNAcentral lists this long non-coding RNA (1164 nucleotides) under Nicotiana tabacum (common tobacco). RNAcentral's name for it is "long non-coding RNA (NTAB_LNC018514)". Lineage: Eukaryota; Viridiplantae; Streptophyta; Magnoliopsida; Solanales; Solanaceae. The record is from RNAcentral.